Molecule: long non-coding RNA, 477 nt
Filed under: Homo sapiens (human)
Lineage: Eukaryota; Metazoa; Chordata; Mammalia; Primates; Hominidae
Description: non-protein coding lnc-SPATA31A3-1:3
Source: RNAcentral
AUGUGGAGGGAGCUCAGAGGUUGUCCUGGAGGAGACGUGGAGACAGCUCAGAGGCUGUCCCGGAGAAGACGUGGAAAGAGCUCAGAGGCUGUCCCAGAGAAGACGUGGAGAGCUCAGAGGAUGUCCCAAACAAGAGAGAGCUCAGAGGCUGUCCCAGAGAAGACGUGGAGAGAGUUCAGAGGCUGUCCCGGAGAAGACGUGGAAAGAGCUCAGAAACUCAGAGACUGUCCCGGAGAAGACAUGGAAACAGCUCAGACGCUGUCUGCAAGAAGACGUGCAGAGAGUUCAGAGGCUGUCCCGGAGAAGACAUGGAGAGAGCUCAAAGGCUGUCCACAAGAAGAUGUGGAGAGAGUUCAGAGGCUGUCGUUACUGCUGCACUUGGCUGUUUUUCUUUGGAUAAUUAUUGCCAUCAAUUUUAGUAAUUCAGGUGUUAAAUCACAGUCAAGCACCUAUUUACCUAGUGGUGAGUUCCUUUAU